Molecule: ribosomal RNA, 534 nt
Filed under: uncultured bacterium
Lineage: Bacteria
Description: bacterial SSU rRNA
Rfam family: Bacterial small subunit ribosomal RNA
Source: RNAcentral
AAUAGAUACCCGGGUAGUCCACGCCGUAAACGAUGGAUGCUAGCUGUUAGGAGUAUCGACCCUCCUAGUAGCGUAGCUAACGCGUUAAGCAUCCCGCCUGUGGAGUACGGUCGCAAGACUAAAACAUAAAGGAAUUGACGGGGACCCGCACAAGCGGUGGAGCGUGUUGUUUAAUUCGAUGGUAAGCGAAGAACCUUACCCAGGCUUGACAUCCCACUAAGGAUCCCGAAAGGGAACUGUGUCUUCGGACCGUGGUGACAGGUGUUGCAUGGCCGUCGUCAGCUCGUGUCGUGAGAUGUUUGGUUAAGUCCAUCAACGAGCGCAACCCUUAUAGUUAGUUGUAUUUCUCUAGCUAGACUGCCCUGGCAACAGGGAGGAAGGAGGGGAUGAUGUCAGGUCAGUAUUACCCUUACGCCUGGGGCUACAAACACGCUACAAUGGCCGGUACAAAGGGCAGCCAACCCGCGAGGGGGAGCAAAUCCCAUCAAAGCCGGUCUCAGUUCGGAUUGCAGGCUGAAACUCGCCUGCAUGAAG